Molecule: long non-coding RNA, 1238 nt
Organism: Amphiprion ocellaris (clown anemonefish)
Lineage: Eukaryota; Metazoa; Chordata; Actinopteri; Pomacentridae
Source: Ensembl
AGACAGUGUCAAAGCUCCAUCUGUGAAAACAGUAAACACACUGACUCACACUCUCUAAGUGACUGCCAUUGAUACCAGACGAGAGAGCGCUGCAGAUACACACAAAAAUAUAGCACACAGGGCUACAGUUACUGUUUGUUUUCAUCUCAUUACAGUGACAGGAGCACGGCAACCCCAGAGGGGAGGCGGAUAAUAGUCCAGUUUUAUUUUUUCUCCACUAAUGGCCCAGCAGGGGGUUCAAAUUGAUUGACGGACGUAGCUCCAGUAUACUCCUGAACACUCCUGGACAGACCAGUCUUCUGUGGCUGCAGUGCAGAGUCUGCUGACGGUGUCUCUGCUUAUCGGCGGCGUCAUGCGUGUGUAGGGUCGGACAUCCGAGGUAACCAAAAUGUUUAUGUUUAUUGUUAUCGUUCUGUUGCUUGAUUGUGGUUAAACAUUUCUUUGUUUCAUUACAGCUUUGCCUCUGUUGCCUUGUCUUUUUGCUUGUUUAUUUUGUUGUUUCUUUUAGUUUGUAGUUGUUUUGCCGUUCGAGUUUAGUUUCGUUUCUCCCCAUGUGGGUGUUUAUCUUUAGGUUGUUGUGGCUGUGUUCUCUGUCUCAGUAAUCAGGUUUCUCCCCUCCAUAGUUGCGUAGGGCCUGUGUGACCUCCAUUUCUAAUAACUGCAUUUAUAUUAACAUUACUGUGUGUUUAUCCUCAGGUUGCUGUGGCUGGUUCUCUGGCUCAGUAGUCAGGUUUCUCCCCUCCAUAGCUGUGUAGGGCCUGUGUGACUGUCAGUUUUAAUAACUGCAUUUAUAGUAACAUUAGUGUGUGUGCGGAACAUAUUUUUGUACCAGAAUAAAAAAUUGUAUUUAUAUUUUUCUAAACACGCCUCUGUAUUCAUUUGUGCACGUACCUGUGUUUAGUAGGGGAAACCCUCUGUUGAGAGGCAGGAUUGUUAACAUUCUUAGGGUGAAAGUCCCUCGGUGGUGUUGUCGGUUCCAUGUUAAAAGAAACCAGAAGACCCUCACCAGUCCUAACUUGGUUACACCCUCACUGAAUUUUGAUAGAGGAGUAGCUGAUGCUUACAAAUGCAAGGAAUUAGUAAGAAUAGUAGAUGCACAAUUGCCACAAGGGCAUCUGUAGAGGCAGGAGUCACACAAAAGCUCCAGAGUGUUUACAUAAAACUUCCUCAAUAGUUCAUGUAACAGAGCAACAUCUCUAUCCCGCUAACAGCGGCCUUUGGUCAUCACUUCGACAGAU